GCAUUCGAGUGCAUUUUUCACUCAACACGUUUCAAUCUCACUCGUCCUAACACCAGCUCUCUGGUUGUGUGAGUUUUAUAUCGGCGCUGAACUUGAAAAUUACUUUAUUAAUCAUUUAGGAAUACGCGCGCCUAUAAGAAGGCAUUUAUCAUCGGCAAGAAGCUGAGAAACGAAAUUAGGCGAAAUUUUUAAUUAAAUUAGAAUACGGUAUGGUGAUUAAUGAUUGUAUUGAUUUGGAGCUAAGGAUUUUCUUAGAAAUGAAGCAUUCUAGCCCCAACUGCAUUUCGACCAUAUCAAAUGAUCCGAUUCAGCGCCAUUUUGCCAAAAAGGAAAGGAGCGAAUUCGCAGGGAGAAAAGUGUGUGGGGAGCUGCAGUCCCAAAGCGCAAGUUGCGAUGGUCAUCAAUUAAAUCCAUCGCAGCAGCCAGCGUCCAACACCUCGGAGCGUCUCACCUUACUCGGCCUUCCCGUGGCGAGUGGAUGUGGCCCGCUCUACGGGUCCGCCAAUUAAUCAAAAUCGUCGCCGUGUGCAGUCGCCGGAGUCCGGAGUCGGAAUCGCAAUCGCAAUCGGAGUCGGUGGUGAAGCUGGGUGGCAACGGCGCGGAGUGGGAGUUGGGGGGCGUGGGGCUAAAGAAAUGUCGUUAACUUAAGUGUCCAAUUAAUUAAAAUCGCAUUUAACAGCCGCCAAGCUGCGAAAAGCCAUUAAGAUAGUUUGUCACAAAACACAUGAAUGCCCUCAACCAGCCCCAAGCUCCUUCUGUAUAUUUGCCCCCUUGUCCAACCUCCGGCUACUCAACCAAAAUGGCAACUCUGCUCCUUGAGGUUUCUGGAGCUCAUUUUGUCCCUCUUCCCAGUUUCGAGCCUUUGAAACUUCAUUUUGCCUCGGUCUUUUUGUUUCUUGUUUUUUCUCCAUAUCCUUCUUAAAGUGUGUGUUCCUUAUAAGCUCGUGAUGUUGUUGCCAUUGUGGCUUUCAUUUUUGGCCGUUUCAAGUUUGGUGUGGGCAAGUUUAUAAAUUUGAGCUGCUUGCUCAUGUGGUUGUCUGGUUGUUCGUUGUGGGUUUUGGAUUUUGGUUGCCCAGGCGAUUUCACACUCAACUUCUUCGUAAUAAGAUUAAUUUUGUGGGCAUUGCCACUAUCUACUUCGGAUCGUCUAAGACUCUUUUAAAUCUUUAAGGUCCAGCCAGCAAGGCAUCCUUAGGACUUAAAAUUCAUUUAUAUAUAUUUUCAUUUGAAAGGAGCU
Molecule: non-coding RNA, 1237 nt
Organism: Drosophila melanogaster (fruit fly)
Lineage: Eukaryota; Metazoa; Arthropoda; Insecta; Diptera; Drosophilidae
Source: Ensembl